UUGUGUGCUAGGCAUCUGCUGUUUACAGAAAAUCAAUAUCGAAGUUGACCUACUUUCAAUGCGUUACACUGUUGUAUAUGCGGACGGCGAAUGCAUUUAAUCUAAUUUUUUCUAGACAAAUAUGGCAUACAUUGAUGUAAUACUUUGGUUUUGUCACUUUUAUUAAUGGAUUACAAAGUUCCCAAAAUUUCACCAUAUUCCGUGUAUAUGGACUUAUCAGUUUUUAUUUGAUUUGCCUGAUUCUUACAUGGACC
This 254-nucleotide long non-coding RNA is filed under the name Mytilus galloprovincialis (Mediterranean mussel). The record is from RNAcentral. Lineage: Eukaryota; Metazoa; Mollusca; Bivalvia; Mytilida; Mytilidae.